This 20-nucleotide microRNA is filed under the name Physcomitrium patens. RNAcentral describes it as "ppt-miR902b-3p". Its record names the gene ppt-miR902a-3p. The record is from miRBase by way of RNAcentral. Lineage: Eukaryota; Viridiplantae; Streptophyta; Bryopsida; Funariales; Funariaceae.
ACGAAGGUCUGCAUCAUAGC